This 1512-nucleotide ribosomal RNA is filed under the name metagenome. RNAcentral describes it as "bacterial SSU rRNA". It matches the Rfam family "Bacterial small subunit ribosomal RNA". The record is from RNAcentral.
AGGGUUUGAUCCUGGCUCAGAACGAACGCUGGCGGCAUGGCUAAAACAUGCAAGUCGCGCGCGAAAGUUCCCUUCGGGGAGCGAGUAGAGCGGCGGAAGGGUGAGUAAUGCAUGGGUAACGUACCUUCAACACGGGGAUAGCUCGCCGAAAGGCGGGGUAAUACCCGAUAAGAUCGUAAUGUCAUAUGGCAUAGCGAUCAAAGGUGGGGAUCUUCGGACCUGCCGGUUGGAGAGCGGCCCAUGUCCUAUCAGUUUGUUGGUGAGGUAACGGCUCACCAAGGCUACGACGGGUACCGGGUCUGAGAGGACGGUCCGGCACAUUGGGACUGAGACACUGCCCAGACUCCUACGGGAGGCUGCAGUAACGAAUAUUGGGCAAUGGGCGCAAGCCUGACCCAGCAAUGCCGCGUGCAGGAAGAAGCUCUUCGGGGUGUAAACUGCUGUCAGGGUUUAGCAAGCAAUGGGAGUUAAUAGCUCUCUGCGUUGAGCAGACCCAGAGGAAGCCACGGCUAACUUCGUGCCAGCAGCCGCGGUAAUACGAAGGUGGCAAGCGUUGUUCGGAAUCACUGGGCUUAAAGAGCACGUAGGCGGCUGUGUAAGCGCUUUGUGAAAUCCCUCGGCUCAACCGAGGAAUUGCUUGGCGAACUGCACAGCUUGAGGCAAGUAGGGGUGCAUGGAACUCUUGGUGGAGCGGUGGAAUGCGUAGAUAUCAAGAGGAGCGCCGGAGGCGAAAGCGAUGCACUGGGCUUGUCCUGACGCUGAGGUGCGAAAGCUAGGGUAGCGAACGGGAUUAGAUACCCCGGUAGUCCUAGCCGUAAACGAUGCCUACUAGGUCGAAGCCUUUCUGACAAGGUUUCGGUCGAAACUAAAGCGUUAAGUAGGCCGCCUGGGGAGUACGGUCGCAAGGCUAAAACUCAAAGGAAUUGACGGGGGCUCACACAAGCGGUGGAGCAUGUUGCUUAAUUCGAUUCAACGCGAAGAACCUUAUCCUGGGCUUGACAUGCUUGGAUGCCUCCCUGGAAACAGGAUCAGGCUGCCCUUCGGGGUGAAACUUGCACAGGUGCUGCAUGGCUGUCGUCAGCUCGUGUCGUGAGAUGUUGGGUUAAGUCCCGUAACGAGCGAAACCCUUGUCGCUAGUUGCCAGCGAGUCAUGUCGGGGACUCUAGCGAGACUGCCGGUGUUAAACCGGAGGAAGGCGGGGAUGACGUCAAGUCCUCAUGGCCUUUAUGCCCAGGGCUGCAAACGUGCUACAAUGGCCGGUACAAACCGAAGCGAGACCGUGAGGUGGAGCAAAUCGGAGAAAGCCGGCCCCAGUUCGGAUUGAAGUCUGCAACUCGACUUCAUGAAGUUGGAAUCGCUAGUAAUCGCGGAUCAGCUACGCCGCGGUGAAUGUGUUCCUGAGCCUUGUACACACCGCCCGUCAAGUCAUGGAAGUCGGGAGCACCCGAAGUCGGCCCGUUUCAGGGUUGCCGAAGGUGAGUUCGAUGACUGGGACUAAGUCGUAACAAGGUA